Molecule: ribosomal RNA, 633 nt
Filed under: uncultured fungus
Lineage: Eukaryota; Fungi
Description: eukaryotic LSU rRNA
Rfam family: 5.8S ribosomal RNA (bases 206-359)
Source: RNAcentral
AGUCGUAACAAGGUUUCCGUAGGUGAACCUGCGGAAGGAUCAUUAGUGAAUCUAGGACGUCCAACUUAACUUGGAGUCCGAACUCUCACUUUCUAACCCUGUGCAUCUGUUUUAAAAUUGGCUAGUAGCUCUUCGGAGUGAACCACCAUUUUUCACUUAUACAAACACAAAGUCUAUGAAUGUAAGCAAAUUUAUAACAAAACAAAACUUUCAACAACGGAUCUCUUGGCUCUCGCAUCGAUGAAGAACGCAGCGAAAUGCGAUACGUAAUGUGAAUUGCAGAAUUCAGUGAAUCAUCGAAUCUUUGAACGCACCUUGCGCUCCUUGGUAUUCCGAGGAGCAUGCCUGUUUGAGUGUCAUGAAAUCUUCAACCCACCUCUUUCUUAGUGAAUCUGGUGGUGCUUGGUUUCUGAGCGCUGCUCUGCUUCGGCUUAGCUCGUUCGUAAUGCAUUAGCAUCCGCAACCGAAACUUCGGAUUGACUUGGCGUAAUAGACUAUUCGCUGAGGAUUCCAGACUUGUUCUGGAGCCGAGUUGGGUUAAAGGAAGCUUCUAAUCCUAAAGUCUAUUUUUUGAUUAGAUCUCAAAUCAGGUCGGACUACCCGCUGAACUUAAGCAUAUCAAUAUAAAAGUCG